RNAcentral lists this ribosomal RNA (433 nucleotides) under uncultured bacterium. RNAcentral's name for it is "partial 16S ribosomal RNA". It matches the Rfam family "Bacterial small subunit ribosomal RNA", at positions 29 to 507 of the family's 1533-position model. The record is from RNAcentral.
AACGAACGCUGGCGGCAUGCCUAACACAUGCAAGUCGAACGAGACCUUCGGGUCUAGUGGCGCACGGGUGCGUAACGCGUGGGAACCUGCCCUUAGGUUCGGAAUAACUCCCCGAAAGGGGUGCUAAUACCGGAUAAUGUCUUCGGACCAAAGAUUUAUCGCCUUUGGAUGGGCCCGCGUUGGAUUAGCUAGUUGGUAGGGUAAAAGCCUACCAAGGCGACGAUCCAUAGCUGGUCUGAGAGGAUGAUCAGCCACAAUGGGACUGAGACACGGCCCAGACUCCUACGGGAGGCAGCGGUGGGGAAUAUUGGACAAUGGGCGAAAGCCUGAUCCAGCAAUGCCGCGUGAGUGAUGAAGGCCUUAGGGUUGUAAAGCUCUUUUACCCGGGAUGAUAAUGACAGUACCGGGAGAAUAAGCUCCGGCUAACUCCGUG